Molecule: ribosomal RNA, 251 nt
Filed under: uncultured bacterium
Lineage: Bacteria
Description: partial 16S ribosomal RNA
Rfam family: Bacterial small subunit ribosomal RNA
Source: RNAcentral
UACGUAGGUGGCGAGCGUUAUCCGGAUUUACUGGGUGUAAAGGGCGUGUAGGCGGGAGUGCAAGUCAGAUGUGAAAACUAUGGGCUCAACCCAUAGCCUGCAUUUGAAACUGUACUUCUUGAGUGCUGGAGAGGCAAUCGGAAUUCCGUGUGUAGCGGUGAAAUGCGUAGAUAUACGGAGGAACACCAGUGGCGAAGGCGGAUUGCUGGACAGUAACUGACGCUGAGGCGCGAAAGCGUGGGGAGCAAACA